This 489-nucleotide ribosomal RNA is filed under the name uncultured bacterium. RNAcentral's name for it is "bacterial SSU rRNA". It matches the Rfam family "Bacterial small subunit ribosomal RNA", at positions 28 to 507 of the family's 1533-position model. The record is from RNAcentral.
GAUGAACGCUAGCGGGAGGCUUAACACAUGCAAGUCGAGGGGCAGCAUAGGGUAGCAAUACUCUGAUGGCGACCGGCAAACGGGUGAGUAACGCGUAUGCAACCUACCCUGUACAGGGGGAUAACCCGGAGAAAUUCGGACUAAUAUCCCGUAAUAAUAUCCGGAGGCAUCUUUGGAUACUUUAAAGUUCCGACGGUACGGGAUAGGGCAUGCGUAACAUUAGCUGGUUGGUAAGGUAACGGCUUACCAAGGCUAUGAUGUUUAGGGUCCUGAGAGGUGGUCCCCCACACUGGUACUGAGACACGGGACCAGACUCCUACGGGAGGCAGCAGUGAGGAAUAUUGGUCAAUGGGCGCAAGCCUGAACCAGCCAUCCCGCGUUGCAGGAAGACGGCCCUAUAGGUUGUAAACUGCUUUUCCAGGGAGAGAAACUUACGCACGUGUUGCGUGACUGACGGUACCCUGGGAAUAAGCAUCGGCUAACUCCGUG